This 500-nucleotide ribosomal RNA is filed under the name uncultured bacterium. RNAcentral's name for it is "partial 16S ribosomal RNA". It matches the Rfam family "Bacterial small subunit ribosomal RNA", at positions 30 to 523 of the family's 1533-position model. The record is from RNAcentral.
AUUGAACGCUGGCGGCAGGCCUAACACAUGCAAGUCGAGCGGAUGACGGGAGCUUGCUUCUUGAUUCAGCGGCGGACGGGUGAGUAAUGCCUAGGAAUCUGCCUGGUAGUGGGGGGCAACGUUUCGAAAGGAAAGCUAAUCCCGCAUACGUCCUUAGGGAGAAAGCAGGGGACCGUAGGGCCUUGCGCUAUCAGAUGAGCCUAGGUCGGAUUAGCUAGUUGGUGGGGUAAUGGCUCUCCAAGGAGACGAUCCGUAACUGGUCUGAGAGGAUGGACAGGCACACUGGAACUGAGACACGGUCGACACUCCGACGGUGGGCAGCAGUGGGGAAUAUUGGACAAUGGAGGAGAGCCUGAUCCAGCCAUGCCGCGUGUGUGAAGAAGGUCUUCGGAUUGUAAAGCACUUUAAGUUGGGAGGAAGUGCAGUAAGUUAAUACCUUGCUGUUUUGACGGUACCGACAGAAUAAGCACCGGCUAACUCUGUGCCAGCCGCCGCCGUAA